Long non-coding RNA from Lathyrus oleraceus (garden pea), 1032 nucleotides. RefSeq lists it as uncharacterized. The record is from RefSeq and is a predicted model, not a curated record. NCBI's taxonomy places the organism in Eukaryota, Viridiplantae, Streptophyta, Magnoliopsida, Fabales, Fabaceae. The transcript is spliced from 3 exons.
GUCAGUUUGGGUCUUAGGCCCAAACCAACUCCAAAAUCAUGGCAAUGUCCACGUGAGGAUCUAAGUCUUCUCUCGUCCUCAAUCCUGCGUGCAACUGAAACCGCCAUAAACAUUCAUCGAUAAAAACUCGAACCACGACAAAAUUUUCCUCACUCCGGCAUACUCAUCAUCAACAAUGGCGUUCGUGGGACUUCGGUUUGAAUAAGAAGAGCAAUUCGAAUCCAUCAAAAAUGCAUUCAUUCUCAAGGCUUUGCGUUUGAAGAUCUGAAGUUUCAAAUAUUCGACGGCACAAAGAUUCACAUUGGUGAGAUUCGAAGAUCUGAAAACCAUUGAGAUUCGAGAGAGCUUGUGAUUUGAUUCUGGAUUGGCGAUUGCUGAAGUAUGUUCAAAACAUUCAUGAAUGAAUGAGGAUAAUGCUUAUUUAUAGGGUGAGAUUGCAUUUUGCAACAGGUAUGAGUGCUCAGCGGCAAGUAGUCAUGUGCAUUGCUUGUGUGGUUCUACAAUGUUGUUGCAAGGUUUAUGUUUUGAUUAGGUCUACAUCAUGUAUGAUAUUAUGUUCAUGACAGAAGUUUAUGGUUCCAAUGCACUUUGGUUUUAUGCAGCAUGGUGACUUCAUGUUUGUUAGCAUGGUUAUGCACAUGGAGGAUGGUGGUUGAACUAAGGUUUGUAACAUGACAUCAAGAUUGGAUUUUGGAUUAUCAUGUCCAAAAGGUAAACUUCAAGAUCAAGGAUCAAAGAUUGAAGAUUUGGAUUAGAAUUAGAAUUGGGUAUUUAGGGAUUUAAGAUAAAAAAAGGUUGAGUUGAUUUUGGUCAAAGUUAACCGAAAAGUCAAUUGUUGACCAAAGUCAACAUUUGGUCGACAUAUAAUUUUUUUGGCAUUUUUCAUGUAAUGAAUAAUGUAUGAUGGAUUAUAAUGAUGGAAUUGAUAUACUUUUGAGUGAAAUGGGUUGUUUUUUGAAUUGUUCUUGAUACUUGAACAUGAUACUUGUAAUGGACUGAAAUGGAUGAAUUUGAUGAAUUAAUGAUAUUGUA